RNAcentral lists this transfer RNA (379 nucleotides) under uncultured bacterium. Its description in RNAcentral is "partial contains 16S ribosomal RNA, 16S-23S ribosomal RNA intergenic spacer, and 23S ribosomal RNA". The stretch from base 88 to 161 matches the Rfam family "tRNA". The record is from RNAcentral.
UGCGGCUGGAUCCCCUCCCCUCUCUAGAGCAGCGCCCGAAGUUCUCGCGUCCACACUUAUCGGCUGUACACGAUGUGCCUGCCGAACGGGUCUGUAGCUCAGUUGGUUAGAGCACACGCUUGAUAAGCGUGGGGUCGGUGGUUCAAGUCCACCCAGACCCACCACCAACUGACCUUGCCCGGGGAUAGAAUGCGCUCCCUGCAGGGCCAUAGCUCAGCUGGGAGAGCGCCUGCUUUGCAAGCAGGAGGUCACCGGUUCGAUCCCGGUUGGCUCCACCAGUCUCACCGCAGAAUCCGAAGCCAAGCGUCGCUUGCAGGCUCGCGACGCUUCGCUGCGUGUUUUGUAUCGGCUGUUCUUUAACAAUUCGGAAGAAGUGAAG